UCAAAUUGGAAUGUGAAAUUUGAAGCUAUCACCGUAGCCAUUUUGCUACCAGAUUGAAAAUAAAGCAUUACAUUGAAAAGGGCACAGCUAAGAUCAUUACAAAGGAGUGAAGCUAUUCCUAAUGCACUAAGCCUAGAGAACAUUCUACAUCUGGACUUUUCUUGAAAGAGAAUAAUUUUCUCACUGUUUAGUGCAGUUUGAGGGAAGGUAUUCUUUGACUUGCUGUGGAAAACAUAAUAUAAAAAGUGUGCAGAAGCCAGAUACUAAAAGGAAAGCCCCAAAGAGAGAAAAACCACAUGGAAAAUAUCUGUCCUCUAACCUCUGAGAGGUUUAUAAGAAAUAAUACAUUCAUCUUGAUUUUUUUUAGAUAAAUUGUUCUGGGUAUAAUGUGAAGAGUGGAGUACAGGAGGGGAGAUUCAGGGACAAGAUAAGCAAUCAAGAAAUGCUGCAAAAACAAAGGUGGUACGGGGGUUUGAACAAGCGUCGUGGUAGAUGUGGAUGCCCAGAUGUAGAUAGAGGCACAUGUUGGUUCAGCUCACUUUAAAGGGAAUGUUGCACACUUUCUAGGUGUACUACACUGUGUUAGAGGUUGAAGCUACAAAGAAUAAGAGUCUUUGCCUUCAAAGAGCUCACAGGUUAGCAAGAGGGAAAGACAGAUCAGCAAUUGGCCAAUAUAACAUAGUCAGUGUGUAGCUGAGGCUGGUGCACAGGUGCUAUGAGAGGACUUACUGAUGCCCCAGGGAGAAAGCAGAGAGGGGAGAUUUCUAGGGAAAAAACACACAAAAUAUUCAAUAUCUAUACUUUACAGCCUCCCAUCUACUCCUUAUUUUAUUGCAAUUUGACUUCAGCUCUUCUCAAUUAAAUUUCCCUCCCUGAGUCUUCAGAGGGAAUUUUAUACUAGAAUUGAAGAUGACCUCCUUCAGCUUAAUUAAACUGUCUUCAGCAGUUCUGUGUGAACUUAAAAUUCACUUCCUUGGAAAAGUGUUUCUAACCAUUUAGAUGGGGAAACAAACCCUCUCAGGUGCUCACAUGUCCUGCUCUAUAACCGCUAUCACCCCCCACAUGUUUUUUAAUGUCCAUCCAUUAUUUGUCCAUAUACAUCAUGGCUUGUUAACUCCCUGGGGACUGUUAACAUUUCAGGCAGGUUCACCAUUGAAUUCAGUUCCCUAGGAGUGUAUGGUAUUUACAAGGUGUUGGGUAAGUAAUUUACCCAUGAAGAAGAAGUAAAUGAAUGGAACACUGACUCUAUGACCAUAAUUAGAAGUUCAAUGCAGAGAGUGAUUGUGGAUAAGGGUGAAGAUGCAGCAGAAGUCAGCUCACCAAAUGACUUGAUACCUUCUUGUGCAGGUGGGAUACCACUGAGGGAAAAUUUAACUCAAGAGGUAGUAUUAACCUGCUGGGCUAGAAAAAGGAAAAUAUGAUUCCAGUGGAAGAGACUUUUCAACAUGGUUUGUAUUGCCUUGAUUCGUUCCUUAUUUACUAUGCACAUGAUACCAGUCAGGAAAAUGGUCCAGGGGGAAAACACUGCAGAUGAAAGUGGGGUGCCAGCCUCUCAGAGAAUGGACCUGAAAUUGAAGAGCUGGAAUGAACGUGAAGUUUAUCCACCUCAGUGGCUCCAAGAUAGAAACAUAAGGUGCCCGAGAAAAUUCAGAAAAUUCCCGAUUCCAGUCUCAGAAGACACUAAUUCACUAGGUGUAGGUGAGGUCUAAGAAUCUAUUAAAAGCCUUUCAGCCAAACCUGAUGGGCAAAGAAAACCUCUGAUCUACCUCAACUCUUUCAUUUGCGCAUAAAGAAACUGACCCCAGAAGAUGUGUUGCUACUGUUCAGCCAUUACUGGCCGAACAAGGAUUAUAAAUUCAGUCUCUUGACCCGGAGGCCAAAGCUCAUAGCAUUAAAUCUAAUGAGGCACAAAAGUUGGCCAGAAGUUGGAAGAACAAAAUUCCGAAGAGAUCAUGUAGCUUCGGUCCCUUAUAAUAAUAUAUUUGCGAAAUUAGUUUUUAGUUCCAGCCAUCUGAGCAACGAGCCACAUAGGUGAGAAGGGACCACAUAAUAAUUUGUAGCCACUUUGUUUAGGGAACUUGGAUCACAGUAAAUCUCACAGAUUUUCUAAACCUGUGUUGACAAAGGACCUGCAGACGGCAGGGUAUUUUACACCAAGCAGUGAGUUAUUAAUGACAUUAAUCAUGAGCAAUAAACAUCUGUUCUUCAGGAAGCCUAAGUACAGAAGAAAAAAGAUGGAUGAACAUUUUUGUGUUAAAGACUUGGACUAGGUGUGUGUUAACUCUAUUUAUUAUUAAAUGAUAGAGUUAUCAAAGGAGAUGGCUUGAUUGUUCUUUGGGGUGGGAUUUUUAGCUUAAAUGUGGAAGGCAUCAGAUCUCUUCAUUGAACACGGUGGAGGGUGAUAUGAGUUGAUGUCUCAGUAGAGCCUAGUAAGACCUCUGUCCUUUCAAGCAUUCCUCAGUCAGUCCCCAAGAGAACUGGUAUAAGUUUGGUCCAGAUCCUGUUUGAAAGUGUGGGUGGUCAGUCACCAUUCCCUUUAUUUUACCCAGAAACAUCAGCUAUCAUUCAACAUGCUUCUGCAGUGAAAACACUGGUCAAGAUCUUCCUUUAAUCCCUCGAGACAAGGACAAAGCAGUCCAUCAUUGUGGAAAAUGACUGCAUCACUACAGGUGACUGGCAGGUCACUAUCUCUACAAAGGCAACAUAAGUCAUUAUAUUAAUUAGGCUUUUCUGAAUUAUAUUUUAGCUUCACUUCCAACCCAUUGUUAAUUUUUGGUCAUUCUUUCACAGUUCAUUCACCCAGUGAAGGAGAGACAGCAAGCAUGUUUUUAGGUUUUCAACAGUUCUAAUAAUGUCUUUUUAAAAAUACAUACUAUGUGUGUGUAUGUUUUGUAUACAUUGUUUAAAAGUUAUUAAUUUACCAAACUUAGUAGACACUGCUUUUUCCCUAUGGAAGUAUACUUCCAAUAAUUAAUUAUUGACAUGAACACUUACCAUAUUUAUCAUAGGAGAGGAAAACCAAGUUACAAGAAAUCUGUGGAUAAUAAAGUAGCAAACAGAUUAUACUUAUGUUGGCCAAUGGGGACCUACCUGCUGUACAGCACAGAGAACUCUACCCAGUAUUCUGUGAUCAUCUUUGUGGGAAAAGAAUCAGAGAGAAUGGAUAUGUGUUUAUGUAUGACUGGAUCACUUUGUUGUGCAGCAGAAAUGAGCACAGCCUUGUAAAUUAACUAUACUUUGAUAAAACUUAAAAUAAUAAUAAAAGAUUACACUUAUGUUAGUUCACAAAGCAUUUUCUCUUUCAUGUAUUAAAACACACUGAUAACACUUGUUUGUAUUUUCAUCUGUUUGCUUAUGCAUUCAGUAAAUAUGGUUUGGGUGUUAAUUAAGUACACGCCACUAAGCUAGAUUUUUGAGGGUAUACAAAUUAAUGAGACAUAAUCUCUGCCCUUCCUUGAGGCAGACUCCACAGUAAAUAGGGCCUAAACAUGACCAAUGAUUCUACAGGAUUUCAUCUUUACACUGAGGGCAAUGGACCACUAUUGGUGGGCUGGGAGGGAGGAGAAGGGAUACAAUCUGCAUUUUUUUAUAUCAUUAAUUCUCUUUUCAGUUAUUAUUAUUAUUAUUAAAGUAUAGUUGAUUUACAAUGUUUCAUCAAGUUCUGUUGUACAAGAAAGUGACCCAAUCACACACAUUUCCCUGUGCUGUACAGUAGGAUCCCAUUGCCCAUCCAUUCAAAAUAUAAGAGUUUGAAUUUCCAAAACCCCCAAAAUGCAUAUCCAUCCCUCUCCCUCCUCCCCCCAGCUCCUGUAAACCACAAGUCUGCUCUUCUUGGCCAUGCUCUGUUUCUGCUUUUUGUUUGUUUGUUAUUUUUAGAUAGGAUCAUCUGUUCCAUAUUUUAGAUUCUACAAAUAAGUAAUACAAUAUGGUAUUUGCCUUUUUCGUUCUGGUGUACUUCACUUAAUAUGAGAGUCUCUAGAUCCAUCCUGUUGCUGCAAAUAGCAUUAGUCUGUCUUUUUUAUGGCUGAGUAAUAUUCCAUUGUAUAUAUGCACCACAUCUUCUUAAUCCAUUCAUCUGUCCAUGGACAUUUAGGUUGUUUCCAUGUCUUGGCUAUUGUGAAUAGUGCUGCUAGGAACAUACAGGUGCAUGUAUCUUUUUCAAUGAAAGUUUUGUCUGGAUAAAUGCCCAGCAGUGGAAUUGCUGGAUCAUAUGGUAGCUCUAUAUUUACUUUCCUGAGGCACCUCGAUACUGUUUUCCAUAGUGGUUGUACCAAUAUACAUUCCCACCAACAGUGGAGGAUUCAGAUUGGUAUGGGAAGAGAUUGGAGGGGACCAGCUGGACGGCCGUUGCAGGAAUUCAGGCAAGAAAUAAUGGCAGGUGGGCAUCACAGAGUCAGCGGGGGAAGAGAGAGAGAAGUACAUACAUUGGAGAGAUAUUCACAGCUUAAAAUCCCCUAGUUUGAGCAUUAAUGAGGUAGAGGCUAGUCCCAAACUUUAAUUUCAGCCUCUGGAGAGAUGACGGUGCCACUCACAGAGUUGUGACACACAGGAAGAAUAGCAGGUGUGAUCUUGGGGUAAUGAUGAGAUGCAUUUUGGGCAUUUUUGUACUGGAAAUGUCAAUAGGGAAGUCCAAAGGAAAUGGCUUCCUUUGAAGUAUAGGGGAGAUUUUUAAAGAGUGUGUUUCCAGGGUAACAAGAAAAAGACAAGAACAACCUUGGGCUCCCAAGAUUUAGGUAGGAAUCAUCCCAAGAUGAAGAAGAUGAAAAAUGAGCCAGGGAAGUGGGAGGAAAGACAAAGUAGUGAGUUGUGGGAAAGUGCUGGAAACCAAAAGGCAAAGAAAGAGAAGGUGGCAUAGGGUGAGUCAGAGUCUUUUGGGACCUUGGCAGAGAAGCUUCACUGGAGACCAGAGGAGAGUUGACAAAGAAGGUGAGAAGGAGGAGAUAUUAGGUGAAAAUAAUGACUCCACAAAGUCCAACUAAUGAUAAAUGCUGUGAAAUAGCAUGAAGAUGGAUGAGGGCUCAAAGGGUGCUUUGAUUUGUGUGUGUCUGAAGACAAGAGAUGUUUCAAGAGCCAAGAAAAAGAAAUAUCAGAGCCUUGAAAGAAAGUAAGAGAAACUGAUGAAGCCAGGAAGUGCCAGAUGGAAAUGGAACUGGAGCCCUGGACCACUGAUAACUCAGAACACAUAGACAACAGGCUAAGGAGGCAGCCUUUCCCUUUAUUUUUUUAUUUGGGAAAAGUAUUCAGAAUAAAGCCACUUGGGUGACUCUGAUUUGAUCCACAGAGGUCCAUUUUUCCUAUUCAUUUAAUUAUAAUAUUCACUGAAGGUCUACCUUGUCCCAGUACUGCGCUAGGCACUCAAAAGGCACGGUGAUAAAUCGAACACAGUCCUUCCCCACAAGGAACCCACUGCUUUACAGGGUGGGAGUGGGGGGGUGGAGCCAAAGCGUGCACAUACACUAAUUCCAAGGCAAUCUCUGAUAAUUUUAGCAUUGAUUUAUAGCUUUCAAUGAGUACCAAAAAAGCCCUCUAUACCUAUUUCUUAGUCUACCUAUUCUAACAGUACUCUAAUACAAUUGCAAAUCACCAUCUCAUAAACGUUGACCACUGGAUGGCUAGAUUAGUUAUUAAUCUAGCCAGGGGGCUGGAAUUAAUUAACCUUAGCAGUGAACAGUAUUUUGACCUUGGUCUAAUCAGGCCAAUUUUCCACUCUGGAGAACAUGAUUAAUUAUCUGGUUCAUUCAGGGAAGGAACCCCAACAGAACAAAACAUGCCAACACACCAGAGUUUUUACCUUAAUUAUUAGGAUUACAAUGCAAUUUUUGACACAGUGUGCCUUUCCUCUGAUAAGAAAAUGCACGAUAAAAUCAAACAAUACUUUAGACCUCUAAAUAGUUAAGGAAAGAGAAGUGAAAAUUCAAUCUAAUUUGUCAGGAAAGGAGAUUUAUUUUGCUAUGAUAUCAAAUGUAUUCUUUUUAUUCACUUUAUUUCAUUGUAUUUUGCAUAAGCUACCCUUUUUAUAAGGCAAGAUGCAAGAUAAUUCUUUGCUAUUAAUA
This 6053-nucleotide long non-coding RNA is filed under the name Sus scrofa (pig). Its description in RNAcentral is "lncRNA (ENSSSCG00000058533.1)". Lineage: Eukaryota; Metazoa; Chordata; Mammalia; Artiodactyla; Suidae. The record is from RNAcentral.